This 497-nucleotide ribosomal RNA is filed under the name uncultured bacterium. Its description in RNAcentral is "partial 16S ribosomal RNA". It matches the Rfam family "Bacterial small subunit ribosomal RNA", at positions 28 to 507 of the family's 1533-position model. The record is from RNAcentral.
GAUGAACGCUGGCGGCGUGCCUAAUACAUGCAAGUCGAGCGAACAGACGAGGAGCUUUCUCCUCUGACGUUAGCGGCGGACGGGUGAGUAACACGUGGAUAACCUACCUAUAAGACUGGGAUAACUUCGGGAAACCGGAGCUAAUACCGGAUAACAUGUUGAACCGCAUGGUUCAACAGUGAAAGACGGUCUUGCUGUCACUUAUAGAUGGAUCCGCGUCGCAUUAGCUAGUUGGUAAGGUAACGGCUUACCAAGGCAACGAUGCGUAGCCGACCUGAGAGGGUGAUCGGCCACACUGGAACUGAGACACGGUCCAGACUCCUACGGGAGGCAGCAGUAGGGAAUCUUCCGCAAUGGGCGAAAGCCUGACGGAGCAACGCCGCGUGAGUGAAGAAGGUCUUCGGAUCGUAAAACUCUGUUAUUAGGGAAGAACACAUGUGUAAGUAACUAUGCACGUCUUGACGGUACCUAAUCAGAAAGCCACGGCUAACUACGUG